Molecule: transfer RNA, 72 nt
Filed under: Marmota monax (woodchuck)
Lineage: Eukaryota; Metazoa; Chordata; Mammalia; Rodentia; Sciuridae
Also listed under: 1 other name
Rfam family: tRNA
About the family: Transfer RNA (tRNA) molecules are approximately 80 nucleotides in length.
Source: Rfam by way of RNAcentral
AGGGUUGUGGCUCAGUGGUAGAGUGCUUGCCUAGCAUGCAUGAGGCACUGGGUUCGAUCCCUGGCACCACAU